RNAcentral lists this microRNA precursor (352 nucleotides) under Triticum urartu. RNAcentral's name for it is "MIR5048 microRNA precursor family". It matches the Rfam family "MIR5048 microRNA precursor family". The record is from Rfam by way of RNAcentral. Lineage: Eukaryota; Viridiplantae; Streptophyta; Magnoliopsida; Poales; Poaceae.
UCUAGCAAUAUAUUUGCAGGUUUUAGGUCUAAGUGAAGGAUAUCGAUCUCUGUUAAUAUAUUGUAAACCUUCACAAAUUCCCUUGAUUAUUUCAUAGCGCGCUAUUUUAAAAGAAAUGAUUUGGCAUUGGACAAACCAAGUUGUCCAACAUGCAUAUUCAUGACUUGAAAAAGUAAAAAAAAUACAGUCUGGAUAUUGUGUUUGACUUAGAAAGAUGGAAAAGCUAAACAAAAAGUUGUGAAGGCAGAUGAUAAAAGUGCUAUUGAAUGAUCAAGGAAUUUGUGAGGUUUACAUUAUCUUCGCAAGAGUUGUAUUGUUCACUUAGACCUAGACAUGCAAGUAUAUUUCUAGG